UGAACCAGAAGAAGAGGUGGUGAGUCCCCGACACAGCAGGAUCAGGCUGCACCAUUCCCAGGGGAUAACACCUUGCAGAGCUGGGCAGCGCUGUCACCCACCCACCAAACCCCGCAACAUCAGCGCUUCCCUUCCCCGCCAGUACCUGCCUUUUAUCCUGAUUCCCUAAAUAAAGAAUAUGGAACAGGCCUGCUGCUGCUAUGAAUCUUCCCUGGGAAAUCACUAAUGUUUGAUCUCAAGAUAAAGGAAAUUUAAGAGGUACUCAGACAGCACCUGAAUGACUGAAAGGGACUGAUCACUGGCAUUCCUGAGGAAUUCAAGGUUUCCAGAUUGUCCCAGAUCUGCCCACAUUUGCCCUCAUCAGUGGACAGCUUUGCCUAGGGAUUCCUAGCUGUAGGACCAGUUUCUCACCGGCUCCAAAUCCAGGAAGAAGAUAUACAAACAACUGAAUUAAGACCAGAACAUUAAGAAGACUUAAACCCUACAGACAAUUGCAAAUCUGGAACUGGCAGCUAAUCUGUGGCGUUCUGCAGAACGAAUCUCAAAUGGAGCCACAUCUGCUGCAGGAGAACUGCUUGUGGGGAAUGUGAAGACCAUUUGUCGGGGAGACUGAGGUAGUAGCCAUGUCCUGAUGGUGCAGCUGAUGGAAAGG
Non-coding RNA from Chrysemys picta bellii (western painted turtle), 652 nucleotides. NCBI's taxonomy places the organism in Eukaryota, Metazoa, Chordata, Testudines, Emydidae. The record is from RefSeq and is a predicted model, not a curated record.